Molecule: ribosomal RNA, 204 nt
Filed under: uncultured Lachnospiraceae bacterium
Lineage: Bacteria; Bacillati; Bacillota; Clostridia; Lachnospirales; Lachnospiraceae
Description: partial 16S ribosomal RNA
Rfam family: Bacterial small subunit ribosomal RNA
Source: RNAcentral
GAGGGUGAACGGCCACAUUGGGACUGAGGCACGGCCCAGACUCCUCUUACGGGAGGCAGCAGUGGGGAAUAUUGCACAAAGGGGGAAACCCUGAUGCAGCGACGCCGCGUGAGCGAAGAAGUAUUUCGGUAUGUAAAGCUCUAUCAGCAGGGAAGAAAAUGACGGUACCUGACUAAGAAGCCCCGGCUAACUACGUGCCAGCAG